Molecule: transfer RNA, 73 nt
Filed under: Candidatus Levybacteria bacterium RIFCSPHIGHO2_01_FULL_37_33
Lineage: Bacteria; Candidatus Levyibacteriota
Also listed under: 3 other names
Description: tRNA-Ala
Rfam family: tRNA
About the family: Transfer RNA (tRNA) molecules are approximately 80 nucleotides in length. Their secondary structure includes four short double-helical elements and three loops (D, anti-codon, and T loops).
Source: RNAcentral
GGGCCCGAAGUUUAAAUGGUUGAACAUCUGGCUGGCAGCUAGAGGGUAGCGGGUUCGAUCCCCGUCGGGUCCA